UCUGGUAAUAAUGGCGAGAAGGUCACACCCGUUCCCAUACCGAACACGGAAGUUAAGCUUCUCAGCGCCGAUGGUAGUUGGGACUUUGUCC
RNAcentral lists this ribosomal RNA (91 nucleotides) under Neobacillus niacini. Lineage: Bacteria; Bacillati; Bacillota; Bacilli; Caryophanales; Bacillaceae. The record is from RNAcentral.